UCUUUAAUAGUUUAAAUUUAAAAAUUUUUAGCUUCGGUCUAAAAGAUAGGUAUUUUAUCUUUAAGGUU
RNAcentral lists this transfer RNA (68 nucleotides) under Clavelina lepadiformis (light-bulb sea squirt). RNAcentral's name for it is "tRNA-Arg". The record is from RNAcentral. Lineage: Eukaryota; Metazoa; Chordata; Ascidiacea; Aplousobranchia; Clavelinidae.